CCUACGGGCGGCUGCAGUGGGGAAUUUUGGACAAUGGGGGCAACCCUGAUCCAGCCAUUCCGCGUGAGUGAAGAAGGCCUUCGGGUUGUAAAGCUCUUUCGCAAGGGAAGAAAACUUACUCAAUAACACUGGGUGAGGCUGACGGUACCUUGAUAAGAAGCACCGGCUAACUACGUGCCAGCAGCCGCGGUAAUACGUAGGGUGCGUACGUUAAUCGGAAUUACCGGGGGCGAUGCUUGCGCAGAGAUGUGAAAUCCCCGGGCUCAACCUGGGAACUGCGUGUGAAACUACAAGGCUAGAGUAUGGCAGAGGGGGGUAGAAUUCCACGUGUAGCAGUGAAAUGCGUAGAGAUGUGGAGGAAUACCAAUGGCGAAGGCAGCCCCCUGGGUCAAUACUGACGCUCAUGCACGAAAGCGUGGGGAGCAAACAGGAUUAGAUACCCUUGUAGUC
RNAcentral lists this ribosomal RNA (450 nucleotides) under uncultured bacterium. RNAcentral's name for it is "partial 16S ribosomal RNA". It matches the Rfam family "Bacterial small subunit ribosomal RNA", at positions 338 to 795 of the family's 1533-position model. The record is from RNAcentral.